This 253-nucleotide ribosomal RNA is filed under the name uncultured bacterium. RNAcentral describes it as "partial 16S ribosomal RNA". It matches the Rfam family "Bacterial small subunit ribosomal RNA", at positions 524 to 776 of the family's 1533-position model. The record is from RNAcentral.
UACGUAGGGUGCAAGCGUUAAUCGGAAUUACUGGGCGUAAAGCGUGCGCAGGCGGUUUUGUAAGUCUGUCGUGAAAGCCCCGGGCUCAACCUGGGAAUGGCGAUGGAUACUGGCUCGCUAGAGUGCGGUAGAGGAGAGUGGAAUUCCCGGUGUAGCAGUGAAAUGCGUAGAGAUCGGGAGGAACAUCAGUUGCGAAGGCGGCUCUCUGGACCAGCACUGACACUGAGGCACGAAAGCGUGGGGAGCGAACAGG